CUCAGCAUAGGUAUUUUACAGACCAUAUCUUUGAUUGUCCUCUGUUAACAUCUCAAGUUGUUCAUAAGAAGCUGCAAAGUCCCACCAGGCCAACUGGCAAAUUCUAAAACAUCCAGGACUUCAAGAUCUCAACCAAGAACACUGGACUGAACACUUCCUGCAGCCAAAAUGCCACUGCCUUGCCCUGGUUCAGGAAUAAGCACCUGCCUGAUGCAGAAGGGAAAACGGAGGCAUUAAGUCAUUCGGGCUAUUUAAAAUGAACAGAAUCUGUAGAAGGAAGCAGAUCCCAGCUAUUCAGCAGAUACCCAGGUCUAGGAAGCCCAAGAAUACAAGCCAGGAUUCUGCAGGAAAAGAAAGAGGAGGAAGAGGAGGAGGAGGAGGAGGAGGAGGAGGAGAAGGAGGAGGAGGAGAAACACAGAUCUCCUCCCUACAUACGGGUUGAGCGAUUGCAGACCCCUCCCUUGCGUGCAGAUGGAAGAGGUACAUGCCAGAUCAGCCACAGCUGGAGCAGGACUGAGGGUGGCAGAAGUGAGAAAGGGCAAAGAGCUGAUCAGUCGCAAGUCACUGCAGUUCCGGGGAGGAAGCCUGACCUCAACUCCGGGGCCCUAUUAGGAGAGGGGCCCACUGACCACUUCACUGGAAGGAGUGAGCUCUCUGGGAAUGACCCUUCCAAACCUUUCAGUCCACUUUUCAGAAGCACAGACUGCCUGAGCAAACUCAGGAGUGGCCACUCAGCCUUAGCACUGGCCAGUCAUAAACAGCAACAGAUGUCUGUUGAAUGAAUGGACACAAAUACUAACCACCCUUCUUCCAAAUCCCAGUGCUCUACACAUGAAGAAAGGAAACUUGAUGAGGCACCUCUUUUCAUCCCUCCCAUCCACCCUGAAUAGGGAAAAGAUUCCCAUCUUACAAGUCAGGAUUCAAGAUCAAGAUUGAGAAAACAGCUGGACUGGUCUACCUGCUCCCCCUCCGCUCACACCCCCUUCCCCCGCGACGUCUUAGCCAGUGCUAAGGCCUUGGGGACACCAGUUUUUGUGGCGCUUUAUCAGCAAGGAACCCAACAAACGCCAGCCAGUCCAAUCCUAGGCUGCUAAGAGGGAAGCAAAGCGCCUCUGGGAGGGCUGGUAGCCCCAACUCUCUAGCCAUAAAGUGACUGCACCGCACCACAAGCUUCCUGGAUGGAAGGACACGCGGCCCACAGCUCAGAGCCUCACAACCAUUGCAGGUUUCUGGUCAUCGGGUUCCCCCUCGACCCAGCAGAUGAUUAAGAAUACAUGUGCACCAAGAAGACAAGGACAAGAAGAUUAAUGGAAACAGUAUUUGAAGCAACCUUAAUGUGAAAAAACAAAACAAACAAAAAACAACAACAAUAAAAAAACCACCUCUCAUGUUCUUUAAAAGAAAAAUAGGCUAAUCAUGGCAAAAGUAUACAAUUGUGUAUUUUGUGCAUCAACAAAAGUAAAUAAACUCCUAUUUUUGUGCAAUAUAAUCCCCA
Molecule: RNA transcript, 1495 nt
Organism: Phodopus roborovskii (desert hamster)
Lineage: Eukaryota; Metazoa; Chordata; Mammalia; Rodentia; Cricetidae
Gene name: cilia- and flagella-associated protein 251-like
Exons: 4
Source: RefSeq, a predicted model, not a curated record